This 369-nucleotide unclassified non-coding RNA is filed under the name Glutamicibacter nicotianae. RNAcentral describes it as "partial contains 16S ribosomal RNA and 16S-23S intergenic spacer". Lineage: Bacteria; Bacillati; Actinomycetota; Actinomycetes; Micrococcales; Micrococcaceae. The record is from RNAcentral.
GGAGCAUCUGGCACCGCUUGCGGUGUCCAGGCGCCUGAUUCGGACCGAACGUGUCCGACGGGUAGCUCAUGGGUGGAACAUUGACAGUGCAGUUGGGAGUGAUGCUUCCGACCUCAGUACGCUCUGCUUGCAGGGUUGGGACGGGUCGGGGUGGAGCUACUGGCUGGUGCACGUUGUUGGGUCCUGAGGGACCAGGCUUCCUGCUGUCACGUGAGUGGUGGUGGGGGUUGGGCCUACGGGUCCUUCGUCGGGCCAGGGUGAACCUUCCGUUGUGGUGGGGGAGUGCUGGUGCCGAUCGUAUGUUGAGAACUACACAGUGGACGCGAGCAUCUUUGAUUCGCGUCAUCCAUGAUCAGCCUUUUGGGUUGU